This 500-nucleotide ribosomal RNA is filed under the name uncultured Myrionecta. RNAcentral's name for it is "bacterial SSU rRNA". It matches the Rfam family "Eukaryotic small subunit ribosomal RNA", at positions 1211 to 1797 of the family's 1831-position model. The record is from RNAcentral. Lineage: Eukaryota; Ciliophora; Litostomatea; Cyclotrichida; Mesodiniidae.
AAACUUACCAGGUCAAGACAUGGGCGUGAUUGACAGGCUAAUGACUUUUCUCGAUUCCAUGGAUGGUGGUGCAUGGUCGCACUUAGUUGGUGCAGUGAUUUGUCAGGUUUAUUCCGGUAACGAACGAGACCUCGGCCUUGUAAAUAGCUAUGCUGCUUACAGGGACAUUGGCGGCUACGCCAAGGAAGCUCGAGGCAAUUGCAGAUCUGGAAUGCCCUUAGAUGUCCUGGGUCGCACGCGUGCUACAAUGACGCCACGAACGAGCUUGCGUGAUGAAAGUUACGCAUAAUCAGCAGUCGGCGUCUUAAGGGAUAGUCUCUUGUAACUGUGGGACUCCAACUAGGAAUGUCUCGUAAGCACAAGUCAACAUCUUGUGUUGAUUACGUCCCUGCUCUUUGUACACACCGCCCGUCGCUCCUACCGAUCGAGUGUUUAGGUGAAUUUGAUGGACGUAAGGAAGUCAAAUAAACCUGAGCACUAGAGAAGAGAAGUCGAUAUUC